ACAACAAAACGUUGACAACUCUUAGCGGUGGAUCACUCGGCUCGUGCGU
This 49-nucleotide ribosomal RNA is filed under the name Beryx splendens (splendid alfonsino). Its description in RNAcentral is "partial 5.8S rRNA". Lineage: Eukaryota; Metazoa; Chordata; Actinopteri; Beryciformes; Berycidae. The record is from RNAcentral.